GUCUACGGCCAUACCACCCUGAACGCGCCCGAUCUCGUCUGAUCUCGGAAGCUAAGCAGGGUCGGGCCUGGUUAGUACUUGGAUGGGAGACCACCUGGGAAUACCGGGUGCUGUAGGCU
Molecule: ribosomal RNA, 119 nt
Organism: Cavia porcellus (domestic guinea pig)
Lineage: Eukaryota; Metazoa; Chordata; Mammalia; Rodentia; Caviidae
Source: Ensembl